AGUCGAGCGAGCUUGCCUAGAUGAUUUUAGUGCUUGCACUAAAUGAAACUAGAUACAAGCGAGCGGCGGACGGGUGAGUAACACGUGGGUAACCUGCCCAAGAGACUGGGAUAACACCUGGAAACAGAUGCUAAUACCGGAUAACAACACUAGACGCAUGUCUAGAGUUUGAAAGAUGGUUCUGCUAUCACUCUUGGAUGGACCUGCGGUGCAUUAGCUAGUUGGUAAGGUAACGGCUUACCAAGGCAAUGAUGCAUAGCCGAGUUGAGAGACUGAUCGGCCACAUUGGGACUGAGACACGGCCCAAACUCCUACGGGAGGCAGCAGUAGGGAAUCUUCCACAAUGGACGAAAGUCUGAUGGAGCAACGCCGCGUGAGUGAAGAAGGGUUUCGGCUCGUAAAGCUCUGUUGGUAGUGAAGAAAGAUAGAGGUAGUAACUGGCCUUUAUUUGACGGUAAUUACUUAGAAAGUCACGGCUAACUACGUGCCAGCAGCCGCGGUAAUACGUAGGUGGCAAGCGUUGUCCGGAUUUAUUGGGCGUAAAGCGAGUGCAGGCGGUUCAAUAAGUCUGAUGUGAAAGCCUUCGGCUCAACCGGAGAAUUGCAUCAGAAACUGUUGAACUUGAGUGCAGAAGAGGAGAGUGGAACUCCAUGUGUAGCGGUGGAAUGCGUAGAUAUAUGGAAGAACACCAGUGGCGAAGGCGGCUCUCUGGUCUGCAACUGACGCUGAGGCUCGAAAG
This 739-nucleotide ribosomal RNA is filed under the name uncultured bacterium. RNAcentral describes it as "bacterial SSU rRNA". It matches the Rfam family "Bacterial small subunit ribosomal RNA", at positions 60 to 759 of the family's 1533-position model. The record is from RNAcentral.